CAAGACAACUUUACGGAGUUGACGAUUGACGGAGCGAAGCGACGUCAAAGCGUUCAUUAAAGUCGAGUUGGCUUAGGGAUACGUUCGUUGGGUAGGGGAGCGUUCUGUAAGCCUGUGAAGGUGUGUCGUGAGGCAUGCUGGAGGUAUCAGAAGUGCGAAUGCUGACAUAAGUAACGAUAAAGCGGGUGAAAAGCCCGCUCGCCGGAAGAUCAAGGGUUCCUGUCCAACGUUAAUCGGGGCAGGGUGAGUCGACCCCUAAGGCGAGGCCGAAAGGCGUAGUCGAUGGGAAACGGGUUAAUAUUCCCGUACUUGGUGUUACUGCGAAGGGGGGACGGAGAAGGCUAUGUUGGCCGGGCGACGGUUGUCCCGGUUUAAGCGUGUAGGCUGGUUUUCCAGGCAAAUCCGGAAAAUCAAG
This 415-nucleotide ribosomal RNA is filed under the name Salmonella enterica. Its description in RNAcentral is "partial 23S ribosomal RNA". It matches the Rfam family "Bacterial large subunit ribosomal RNA", at positions 1163 to 1554 of the family's 2925-position model. RNAcentral also lists the same sequence under 1 other name. The record is from RNAcentral. Lineage: Bacteria; Pseudomonadati; Pseudomonadota; Gammaproteobacteria; Enterobacterales; Enterobacteriaceae.